Molecule: ribosomal RNA, 403 nt
Filed under: uncultured marine cyanobacterium
Lineage: Bacteria; Bacillati; Cyanobacteriota
Description: bacterial SSU rRNA
Rfam family: Bacterial small subunit ribosomal RNA
Source: RNAcentral
GGGAGUGGCAAGCGUUAUCCGGAAUUAUUGGGCGUAAAGCGUCCGCAGGCGGCCCUUCAAGUCUGCUGUUAAAAAGUGGAGCUUAACUCCAUCAUGGCAGUGGAAACUGUUGGGCUUGAAUGUGGUAUGGGCAAAAGGAAUUCCCCGUGUUUCGGUGAAAUGCGUAUAUAUCCGGAAGAACACCAGUGGCGAAGGCGCUCUGCUGGGCCAUCACUGACGCUCAUGGACCAAAGCCAGGGGAACCAAAGGGAUUAAAUACCCCUGUAUUCCUGGCCCUAAACGAUGAACACUAAGUGUCGGGGGAAUCCACCCCCUCCGUGUCGUUACCAACCCGUUAAGUGUUCCGCCUGGGGAGUACGCACGCAAGUGUGAAACUCCAAAGAAUUGACGGGGGCCCGCACAA